CUACGGGGGGCUGCAGUGAGGAAUAUUGCACAAUGGGGGGAUCCCUGAUGCAGCAACGCCGCGUGGAGGAUGACGCAUUUCGGUGUGUAAACUCCUUUUAUAUGUCAAGAAAAUGACGGUAGCAUAUGAAUAAGCACCGGCUAACUCCGUGCCAGCAGCCGCGGUAAUACGGAGGGUGCAAGCGUUACUCGGAAUCACUGGGCGUAAAGGACGCGUAGGCGGGUUGGAAAGUCAGGUGUGAAAUCCUACAGCUUAACUGUAGAACUGCACUUGAAACUUCUAAUCUAGAGUAUGGGAGGGGGAGAUGGAAUUAGUGGUGUAGGGGUAAAAUCCGUAGAUAUCACUAGGAAUACCUAAAGCGAAGGCGAUCUCCUGGAACAUUACUGACGCUAAGGCGUGAAAGCGUGGGGAGCAAACAGGAUUAGAUACCCUGUAGUC
RNAcentral lists this ribosomal RNA (438 nucleotides) under uncultured bacterium. Its description in RNAcentral is "partial 16S ribosomal RNA". It matches the Rfam family "Bacterial small subunit ribosomal RNA", at positions 339 to 795 of the family's 1533-position model. The record is from RNAcentral.